GCUAGCUUAGGCCAACACCCGCUUCUGAACCAGGAACCAUCACCCUGGGUGCCUCUGUGAAUUCCUGGAAAGUUGUGUGACCUUGUACCAUCCACAGCAACCCGUUGGUAAGCAUGAAGUAAAUUUAGUUGAUUAUGGCUAUCUUGAAAACCACAAAGGAAAGAAACAAAAUGGAACAGUAGUGAAUAAAGAAUCCCAGAGCAUGUUGCAUAUGAUAAAAGGGUGCUUGGAAGGGAAACAGGAAGAUUGAACAAGGUGACCUUCCUGUGCCCUGGAGCCAUCGGCACAACAAAGAAACACUGCAAAAGAGCCUGACCUCCAUUUACACAGGGCCAUCUUGGUGCGGCUAAUCUAAUCCAGCAGAGGAAGAAUUUUUAAAAAGAGCCCCAAGAGGACUAAUAAAAUGGCUUUGAAUUUCAUUAUGUUUGAGAGGGAGGCACUAAUUCAAUUAGCCACAAAAUGAGAAUUUUCCUACCCCCUCUCUUUGAAGCGGUUCUGAAGCUAGAUUGUGGCUGAGGAAAUGCCUGGGCUGCCUUCUGGAGAAAGACAGUCCUUGUCAAGUUUCAGGCCAACUUCUGAACCUUUACUUCUCUCCUCCGUAAAGUUAUUGGGAGUGAGAAUAGCAUAGCGAGUAAGAGCGUAG
This 643-nucleotide long non-coding RNA is filed under the name Equus caballus (horse). RNAcentral describes it as "lncRNA (ENSECAG00000050231.1)". The record is from RNAcentral. Lineage: Eukaryota; Metazoa; Chordata; Mammalia; Perissodactyla; Equidae.